Non-coding RNA from Coturnix japonica (Japanese quail), 4734 nucleotides. Lineage: Eukaryota; Metazoa; Chordata; Aves; Galliformes; Phasianidae. The record is from RefSeq and is a predicted model, not a curated record.
UUCGCUGUUCUCACCUGUCAGGUGAAGGAACUCAAAGUGCAGCAAAGGCACAGCGCUGGUUCCAUCACCCCCUGCCUUCCACCGGCAGUUUUCCCGUCAGGAUGGCCGUGCUCGGGCAGCACCGUGUGUAAGCGAUCCCCGACCCGGAGCCAUGGCCGGACGGGGGAAUCCCGCCGUGCCCGCCCCUCAGGCGCCUGUGGGAUUAACGGCUUUACAGAGGAACAUCGCCGCCGCGAAGCGAGCUCCGGCCCGGGCCGUUCUUCUGCACGCAAAGAUGAAGGGCAAAGAAAAGUUGGGAAACCACCGGAUCACCCCCCACCCCUCACCCCUCUAAGGGAGGGUCAGAGCCGAGCGGCCCCGCGCUGCACCCAGACCAGCAGCGCAGGCACAUCGCGGGGGAAAACUUCCAAGGCAGAGCACACCCUUCCUUUUUGUUAUCUGAGUGAAUAUAUUUCAUGGCCUUCAUGUGUGGGAAACCUUCAAGCAUCAGAGCUACUUGGAUUCUGCUUCCAGUGAGGUCAAGGAGCUGAAGAUAAGGAAGCUAUGUUUAGCACUCCUGGAACUCCCCCAGAGUGAACACCUGAUAGACUGUAAUACAGCACCAGCAGACUUCAGCAUGUUCUCUGCACCUCUGAGGGGCUCAGAGCAGAAGGUGAGAUUCUGCAUAUAUGGACUCACUUCAGAGCAGACCGAUUGUGUUUAUCCUUUCUAAACGAAUUCAUUUCUUAGCAAUAAGAUAUUUAACAUUUAGCAGCUACAUCCAUCAUCUGGAUUCACAUCUUUGUUGCAAUUCCGUUGAGAACAAAUGUGUUAACUCAGCUCCAAGGAGGAAACAGGAGCCUCAGCUGUUCUUUAACAGCUGCCUGUACAACAUAUUUAGCACGAGGAGGUUGCAUUAAGUGUCCAAGUGAGACCUUGUUCCUCAUGCAGAAUUUUCUGUUUAUUCCUCAGAUUUAAACCUUCAGUACAGAGGACAAGAAGUCCUGAGGCCACAGUCAUGUUUUCUCUCAGCUGCCACUCUCUAUCCUGCUUUGAAAUCCUUAGAACAGAUUUCCAGCUGCACCAAUAUCUACUUGUAACUUGCCUGUAGAAGAGAUAGAGAACUAUAUGAACUAUUCACCUCUAAUAUGGAAGUUCUCCCUCAACAUACAAUUGAAAAUAAUAUCCCAACUCUUAUUUCCCAUUUUUCAAGACAACUAAAAUUAUAAACACAGCAACCGAAGGCUUUACUGAGAUGGGAACUGACAUUCUGCUAAAGAUGCUGUGUCAGGAGAUAGCAAAUGCUCAAGUUUCUUAGGAAGUCUGUUCCCUGUAAGUGAAACCAUGAGAAUUUCAUCUCCCCUCUCCCUCCCAAAGAAACCAAGGGCACCAGUUAUAGAUGCACCCCGUCAGCAUCACCUGCAUGCAACAUGUCUAUACUUCAUAUCUUCUUGUUUCUCUAUAGAAAAAUUCUGAAAUCGCGUUAUCAGACAAAAAGCCUCGCUUGGGAUCUGUUCUGAUGGCACCUGCAAUUAUUUCCAUCUGUCGGGGGAAAGAAAAAAGAACUAGAACAAGCUGUAAUGCAAAGUAAACUAUUUAUUUAUUUUACAAUCUUUAUGAAAAUAACAUCGCUCAGGUUUUGUGAUUCAAAUGUCUUGUACCGCGUAUUGCUCAUUUCCAACAUGGCACUUAAGGAAAGGUUCACCAAAACAGCUAUGCAAGUUCAUCAAAGUGACUCAACACUCAUUUCUCAUCUUAAUAUGACUGAACAUACAACUUGAUUAAUCAAAUUUAGGACAAUUCAUUCAUUCUUGAUGUCAAAAUGAACAAAAAUAUUUCCCUUUCUGCUAAAAUAAUCUCACCACAUUUACAAAGAUUGAGGGGAAAAGAAUCUGUCACAAAAGACACCCAAAGGGUUACCAAAUAUUCUAUUGAUUACAUACCUGGUAAAAAAAAUAAACUGGUAACAGGUGAUGAUAGACACAUGUGCAGGUAAAGCUGAAAUACUGGGUAGUCUUAACGGCUAGAGGUAUUGUGCACCAACAUUCUGGCUAUUUAACAGAAGAUAACAGAACAUUUUUAAACAAGAAACCAGAAGUUUCACCGGAGAGUCACACAUAAGCAUACAAAGAUGGAGAAAUAUUCCACACUAUGUAAAUGAGCAGUUUGGUUUACAUAACCUACUGGGCAUCAUGCAUAAGAAACUCAGUGCACAUAAGUGCAUGAUCUUCAGUUUAAAAAACAAAAACAUUCUCUACGGUCUUUAUUUGCAUUACCAAGUCCACUUCCUACUAAGUGGCUGCUAGGAAUGUUAAACCCUCAGACUGUUUUGUAAGAUUUCCCUCCGUUGUGAACACUUUAUAUCUACACAGUUCAGCUUCUGCAGGAUGACAAGUCUCACUGUGCUUCUGCUCUGUUCAUUUGGUUCAAAUAUGGGUUGUGUAUCUUGUGUAGCCCCAAAUGUAGUUACUGCUCAAAGAUGCCAGAUUAAGAACCGCUAGAAAACUAGCAUUUGCCUGAAGACAUCUGUAACAGCAAGGCAAGCUUCCUACCAUGUGCAUCGCUUUUCAGUUGCAUGUGGAUUUCUAGCGAUCGUUGCUCAGAUGCCUCUUUCAAUUAUUAUUUUUUACCUUUUAACUAAGGAUUCUUAACCAAAUAAGUCAAUAGCUUGCUUGGCACUUUGGUAAAUGAACAGCAACUCAUUUCAAUAGAAAACAGAAUACCCAGAGACAACACGAUUUGCAUAAUUUCCUAAUAUUCAGGUAGGAGAUUCCCAUAACGGAAUAAGAAACAGAGCUACUUUGUUCCACCAAACAAUCCAUUAACAAUUUGUAUAAUGAAUCACAAUAAUGCAGUUCACACUUCAGCAUAAAUGUAAAAAAAGAAGUGGCACUGCAAUACUGUAGGUCAUGUUUUGAUAUCUACAGAACCUCCUGAAUGGCUCCCUAAAGUUAGUUUUAGCUCCGCAGCCCAAAGACUUCAAUGAAUUCUGCAUGAAAAUGCCUUAAGCCACAGAACCAGUUCCUACUGCAGACACACAUCCAAAGUCUUCACCUCCACAUUUCAACUGCUGCCACUAGAAGGAAGAUCUUCAGCUUAGAAAAAAAUUUCAUUUAACACUUGAAAAUAAGAUGAAAACAACCAAAAAUACUGGACGUUACAGAGUCAUUUAGAGACCAGCUCUUUCCAAAAACAGCAUAAGUAGAAAAUUAGAAAAGCUGGUCCCAUUUUUCUAUUCAAAUACUGAUUGUAAGUAAAAAGAAUACAGUACAUGCAAUAAUAUGAAAAACCCUGCCUAACAAAUUCAAGUAAACAACCAAGAGUAACUAGGAAAAAAGAAAACUUACCCCUAACAACAGACAAGAGAAGGUAGGGGUCAUUUUAGAAGACACAUAACAUACAGAUCAAGAUGAUUCUACUGCGUGUCCCCACUGGCAAAGAUUUGCUGGCUAAUUUGAAGUUAUGUAGGCAUACGUUAUCUGUCAAAGUAAAACCUGCAAGUUACGUUCACCUCGCUGAUGAAAUAUUUCCCUCCCAGAUAAACUGACUAAUAAUAUGUCUAAAGAAGGCUAUAAAUACAUCCACAAGGAAAAAAAAAAGUGCUGUGAGAGAUGCAAGAUUUCUCUGCAAACAUGUUGAAUCGUUACAAGAGGACACCUGACAGAGAAAUCCCACCUGCCCUCAGGAAACUGAAAGAGAUGAAGCAGAAGCUUCACGCACUUGGACUGCUCCUGACCACUGGUUUUUGGUUUGUUUUGCCAAUUAACCACUCCUUCCCAGAGCUGAGCAAUUUGCUGACUAGUGUUUGAAUGUCAGUUUUAUCACGAUCUAUCCUGAGCCAACAUCUAAGCCAAUCUAACAUGAAGAUUCAACUGCUCAAGAAAGAGCACUGCAGGAGUACAGAGAAAAGCCAAUUAAACAAACAAACAACAAAACACAGCAGAAAAAUCCACACACUCUCACAGGAACUCUUCCUCAUUGUCAGAACUGUUUAAGAAUACAGCUAGCAUUGAAAUGAGAUAGAAUGGCCUCCAGUCACAUUUUCACUGAUGCUCCAAAUCCUUCCUAAGAGCUGUCUUAAAGCAUGAGCACAAAACGCUCACAGAGAACCUGAGCAGAUUAAGAAAACAUUGCAUUUUUCUGCUGGAAAAGGAUCUUAAAAUUGGUUGUGCGUGCUGUGGCCUUUAGGGUUCUUUGAUUAACACUUGUUUUUUGAAUCCCAUCUUUACCACUAUUACAGAUCAGUUAUAUGUUCACGCAGAAAGAAUGCUGUGUCACUUUUUAAAGAUGACGACUCUGUCCUACUUUCAGACCUAAACAGAACAAAUUAAAUUCAAAAUAAAGAAAAAGAAAAUACUAAUUCGGUAUUAAAAGAUAGUACUCCUGCAGAAAGCUCUGUUCUUCUUCCCUAAUAGCUGGGAUUUGGUUGUGGCUUUGUUUUUUUGAGAGAAAAAAUAGAAAACUGAACAGAAUUUGCUCAAUUAAACCUUUUGUAGUAACAUCAAUCUUCAGCAACACACCUGCUCAGAAAAGCAUACAUGAUAUUUGAUAUCAUUCUGUAGUACUAUACAUUAAACAUUCAAUGACAAAUAAGGACUUAUCUUACACUUAAGUACUUAAAGUCUUCUGUUGGACGAUCCAUUUCACGUCACUUCAGGAAAAGAUAAAGGAAUGUAGAAUUCCUUCUCAUGCUUCACACCGUUCUUUUCUAGUUGUGACCAAAAAUAGGCUUUUUUUUUUUUUGCCCAAGGACAA